RNAcentral lists this ribosomal RNA (461 nucleotides) under marine sediment bacterium ISA-7162. Its description in RNAcentral is "bacterial SSU rRNA". It matches the Rfam family "Bacterial small subunit ribosomal RNA", at positions 45 to 484 of the family's 1533-position model. The record is from RNAcentral.
UGGCCUAAUACAUGCGAAGUCGAGCGAAUCGAUGGGAGCUUGCUCCCUGGAUAUUAGCGGCGGACGGGUGAUAACACGUGGGCAACCUGCCUAUAAGACUGGGCAUAACUUCGGGAAACCGGAGCUAAUACCGGAUACGUUCUUUUCUCGCAUGAGAGAAGAUGGAAAGACGGUUUACGCUGUCGCUUAUAGAUGGGCCCGCGGACGCAUUAGCUAGUUGGUGAGGUAAUGGCUCACCAAGGCGACGAUGCGUAGCCGACCUGAGAGGGUGAUCGGCCACACUGGGACUGAGACACGGCCCAGACUCCUACGGGAGGCAGCAGUAGGGAAUCUUCCGCAAUGGAGGAAAGUCUGACGGNAGCAACGCCGCGUGAACGAAGAAGGCCUUCGGGUCGUAUAGUUCUGUUGUUAGGGAAGAACAAGUACCAGAGUAACUGCUGGUACCUUGACGGUACCUAACC